AUACGGAGGAUGCGAGCGUUAUCCGGAUUUAUUGGGUUUAAAGGGUGCGUAGGCGGUUUGUCAAGUCAGCGGUGAAACGCAAGGGCUUAACCCUUGACCUGCCGUUGAAACUGAUUGACUAGAAUGCGGAUGCUGGGGGAGGAAUGUGUGGUGUAGCGGUGAAAUGCAUAGAUAUCACACAGAACACCGAUUGCGAAGGCAUCUCACAAAUCCGUGAUUGACGCUGAGGCACGAAAGUGUGGGGAUCAAACAGGAUUAGAUACCCUGGUAGUCCACACUGUAAACGAUGAUAACGCGCUGUCGGCGAUACACAGUCGGUGGCCAAGCGAAAGCGAUAAGUUAUCCACCUGGGGAGUACGACCGCAAGGUUGAAACUCAAAGGAAUUGACGGGG
Molecule: ribosomal RNA, 393 nt
Filed under: uncultured bacterium
Lineage: Bacteria
Description: partial 16S ribosomal RNA
Rfam family: Bacterial small subunit ribosomal RNA
Source: RNAcentral